RNAcentral lists this ribosomal RNA (254 nucleotides) under uncultured bacterium. Its description in RNAcentral is "partial 16S ribosomal RNA". It matches the Rfam family "Bacterial small subunit ribosomal RNA", at positions 524 to 777 of the family's 1533-position model. The record is from RNAcentral.
UACGAAGGGGGCUAGCGUUGCUCGGAAUCACUGGGCGUAAAGGGUGCGUAGGCGGGUCUUUAAGUCAGGGGUGAAAUCCUGGAGCUCAACUCCAGAACUGCCUUUGAUACUGAAGAUCUUGAGUUCGGGAGAGGUGAGUGGAACUGCGAGUGUAGAGGUGAAAUUCGUAGAUAUUCGCAAGAACACCAGUGGCGAAGGCGGCUCACUGGCCCGGUACUGACGCUGAGGUGCGAAAGCGUGGGGAGCAAACAGGG